GUCCACGCCCUAAACGAUGUCAACUAGGUGUUGGGGAAGCGAUUUCCUAGUACCGCAGCUAACGCGUGAAGUUGACCGCCUGGGGAGUACGGUCGCAAGAUUAAAACUCAAAGGAAUUGACGGGGACCCGCACAAGCGGUGGAUGAUGUGGAUUAAUUCGAUGCAACGCGAAAAACCUUACCUACCCUUGACAUGUACGGAAGCCUUCAGAAAUGAGGGUGUGCUCGAAAGAGAGCCGUAACACAGGUGCUGCAUGGCUGUCGU
RNAcentral lists this ribosomal RNA (264 nucleotides) under uncultured bacterium. RNAcentral describes it as "partial 16S ribosomal RNA". It matches the Rfam family "Bacterial small subunit ribosomal RNA", at positions 793 to 1055 of the family's 1533-position model. The record is from RNAcentral.